RNAcentral lists this ribosomal RNA (383 nucleotides) under Meloidogyne enterolobii. Its description in RNAcentral is "partial 16S ribosomal RNA". Lineage: Eukaryota; Metazoa; Nematoda; Chromadorea; Rhabditida; Meloidogynidae. The record is from RNAcentral.
AUUAUUUUAAGAUUAUUUUUUAUUGUUGAAAAAAUUAAAAAUAAAUUGUUUUUAACAAAAAUUAAAAUUUAUAAUAUUUCAUUUUUUGGUUUUUUGUUUUAAAUUAAAAUAAUAAAUAUGGGGGAAAAAAAAAUUUUGUUAUAAAUUAUAUUAGUUUAUUUUAAUUAAAAAUAUUUUUUAUUAAAUUUGUUUUUUUUAUUUUUUUAUAAAAAAUAUUAAUUUAAUUAUUAUUAUUGAGUUUAAUUUAGUUAUUUUUAAAAAAAUUUUGUAUAAAAUAAAUUUGAUAAUAAAUGUUUUUUAAAUUCUUUGGGGGUUUAGUUUUUGAUUUUUUGUUUCUGCUCAUUGUUAAAUAAAAGCACUUUUAGCGUGAUUGGUCAAAGGUA